CAGAAGUUGAAUGGUUAACCCAGGAACACAGAUUAACUCAUGAAUUUCAAUGCAAAUACAAAGUUGGACACUUUUUCUCUGACAAAAACUAAGUCUGCUUUGCCCAACUGGUUUGAAACUGAGAACUUUAUUUGUCAUUUUCCUUAGAAGGGCAGACAUUUUUAAUAAACUGGAAAAGCUAAAUCUGGCGCUUCAAAAUUUUAAGGAAAAUAUAUUUAAAGCAUGUGUAUUGUAUGAAAGAAAUCACAACCUUUUCAACUAUUUAAAUUUAUUAUAAAAAAUCCUAGAUGUUAACUUAAAAAUCUGUGGGAUGUAGACAGUUUACGAAAUUCUUUUAGGGGACAUAUGAGCAAAAAUAUUUGAAGACUACUGCUCUUGGAGGCCAUACGAUCUGAGGAUGGAGAGAAACAGGAGAAGUCCACAGCAAAAUUUUCAAGGGAGGGAGCCUCUGGUGUUCAUCCCAACUCCUCUCCCCAUUCUGCCUUUUCCCUGGAGUUAUCCUCAGAGAUUUCUGGUAGGCAGGCUUCCCCAGUCCAAGGACCCCAAAACUCCAGAACUUUCACAGUCCCUGCUCUCCAUCCCAUUCUGGGUUUCAUUCCCUCAGAGCCCUGACCUCCAAGAACAGGCAUCUAAUCAUUCGACUCAUCCUUUAAACUAUUCUACUAGCCUGUUUAAUGGACAUUGGCCAUUCUUUUUUGACUGUUCAUCAUGUGGUUUGGAAAUUUCCCCAUCUUUUGAGUCUUGAUUGUAUGCUAAGCCCAUCUCCCAUGAUAACGUCAGAAAGCUCCAGAUAUUCCUUUUCCCAUCUCCUCUUAGUAAUACACAUCACUUCUAAUUACUUGACAAGUAGUAACUCAUUUAAUCCUCAAGCAACCCUGCGAAGUAGGUGCUACUAUUGUCAAAUUGAUACAUUUGAGGAAACUGAGCACAGAGGGAGAAAGUAUGGUGCUCAUGGUCACACUGCAAGUAAUUGGAAGAACCAAGAUCUGAGCUUAAGGAAUCUGACUCCAGAGUCUAAGCUCCAAGUCACCAUGCAAAGGCACAUGACCCAAGUUCAAACAGAUAGACUCACUGAAGACUUUUAUUCAAGAGCUGGUGCUUCAGAGAAGCAGUGAUAGGAGACUACAGCUAGGACUGGGGAGGGCCACUGGAGCCUCCACAUGAACCCAGGGCAGCAAUGGCAGCGAUGGCCAGUGAUUAUGACUGGGGUCCAAGGCUGGCUCAAGGUGCUGACCAUAUACAAUAUACGGCCUGGUGUGCCAGUUACUGGGUGUGACUAUGAUUGUGGCUCUGGUCAAACUACUCUCUACCUGGUUCUCUCUCUCUCCUGGUAGCCCUGGGAAAGCCACUAUCAUCUAUAUAGCUAUGUAGCUAUCAACUUAUAUCUAUUUUCAUUCACAUGGACAGUUUACAACUUUAACUGGUUUGUUUGUGUGUGUGUAUCUGUGCCUCUGAUGAAAGGGCACACCGAGGUGACCAGUCGUAUACUUCUGACCUGAGCAUCCUUCGACCUGGCUGCCUGAAGUUUGGCAAGGAAUAGAACCAUCCCCAUAAUCGGAGCCAGAGAUGGGGAAAAAGGUAGAACUGGGAAAUUGCUCCUUCUCCCUUGCGAGGUGAUGCUCCUCUGAAGCAUCCAGGACCAAGAAGGGGCUGGGAAUGAUAGGAGACCAUUCAGGGGACUCACAACAGUAGCUAUAAUGGACUAGUAAGAAAUGAAAAUUUAAUAUUUGGAAACCUGUGUUUAAAAUGCUGGGCAUACUAACAAUGCAUUAUGGCAGUGAACAAGAUAGACAAGGGCCCUCCCUCAUGGUGCUUUCUUUUUUGGGAGUAACUCCAAUGGCGUCAGAGGGCUCACCUCCUGGGAGAGCUUCGAGUCUCCUGCAGUCACAGAGGCCAAGUUCCUCAGCUCCAAGCAACAUCAUGCCUCAACCCAUACUUGGUAAUGAAGACUUAGAAGCCAUUUGGACCAGAAGUAGGUUUGCUUCACCUGGCGAAAGCAAAUUUGUCACAGUGAUAUCCUGAGCUGCUAAAUACACUAAUAGAGAAGCUGAUCAUACAGUAUUUCAUUUUGUAAAUGUAUCAAAUAGCUCUCUUUAAUAUAUACCAAGUCCAUUCAUUAAACAAUCAUCACUGUAAAAAAAUCGAUGUUUGAAAUAGUGAUAACAAACCAACUCCAAAUGUGCAAAUUAACACUUCAUUUUUUGUUCUGCAUUGAUUAAGGGAAAAAACUCAGCUCUAUGUUCAUCUUCUUGCACGAUCUUCAUUUUUCACAGGAAUUUGUCUUUCUCUGUGUGUAUAUAAGAAGAUGGGGCCUAGGAAUGUAACUAUUCUUUCUUAAUCCAUAUUAGUGAGAAAAGCAGGGCAAACAAAUAUUUUACAGAUAAGAACAGACACUUGCAAGCUCAGUGAGUUGUUAAGAGCAAUUUUAAGGAAUAAAAGAUUUCUCAGUUCUUUGUUUUUAAAUUAUAGGCUCAUCAUAUUAUGUAUUCUCUAAAUAUUGAGAUUAGUUAGUAGAUGUAUUAGCCUAAUGAUUUGUCCUAAAC
Molecule: long non-coding RNA, 2543 nt
Filed under: Equus caballus (horse)
Lineage: Eukaryota; Metazoa; Chordata; Mammalia; Perissodactyla; Equidae
Description: lncRNA (ENSECAG00000041738.2)
Source: RNAcentral